This 858-nucleotide ribosomal RNA is filed under the name Microbacterium sp. 5BCO-S1.1. Its description in RNAcentral is "bacterial SSU rRNA". It matches the Rfam family "Bacterial small subunit ribosomal RNA", at positions 54 to 922 of the family's 1533-position model. Lineage: Bacteria; Bacillati; Actinomycetota; Actinomycetes; Micrococcales; Microbacteriaceae. The record is from RNAcentral.
CAUGCAAGUCGAACGGUGAAGCCCAGCUUGCUGGGUGGAUCAGUGGCGAACGGGUGAGUAACACGUGAGCAAUCUGCCCCUGACUCUGGGAUAAGCGCUGGAAACGGCGUCUAAUACUGGAUAUGAACCGUGGAGGCAUCUUCAACGGUUGGAAAGAUUUUUUGGUCAGGGAUGAGCUCGCGGCCUAUCAGCUUGUUGGUGAGGUAAUGGCUCACCAAGGCGUCGACGGGUAGCCGGCCUGAGAGGGUGACCGGCCACACUGGGACUGAGACACGGCCCAGACUCCUACGGGAGGCAGCAGUGGGGAAUAUUGCACAAUGGGCGCAAGCCUGAUGCAGCAACGCCGCGUGAGGGAUGACGGCCUUCGGGUUGUAAACCUCUUUUAGCAGGGAAGAAGCGAAAGUGACGGUACCUGCAGAAAAAGCGCCGGCUAACUACGUGCCAGCAGCCGCGGUAAUACGUAGGGCGCAAGCGUUAUCCGGAAUUAUUGGGCGUAAAGAGCUCGUAGGCGGUUUGUCGCGUCUGCUGUGAAAUCCCGAGGCUCAACCUCGGGUCUGCAGUGGGUACGGGCAGACUAGAGUGCGGUAGGGGAGAUUGGAAUUCCUGGUGUAGCGGUGGAAUGCGCAGAUAUCAGGAGGAACACCGAUGGCGAAGGCAGAUCUCUGGGCCGUAACUGACGCUGAGGAGCGAAAGGGUGGGGAGCAAACAGGCUUAGAUACCCUGGUAGUCCACCCCGUAAACGUUGGGAACUAGUUGUGGGGUCCAUUCCACGGAUUCCGUGACGCACCUAACGCAUUAAGUUCCCCGCCUGGGGAGUACGGCSGCAAGGCUAAAACUCAAAGGAAUUGACGGGGACCC